This is a long non-coding RNA of Hordeum vulgare subsp. vulgare (domesticated barley), 1790 nucleotides long. RefSeq lists it as uncharacterized. The record is from RefSeq and is a predicted model, not a curated record. The transcript has 4 exons. Lineage: Eukaryota; Viridiplantae; Streptophyta; Magnoliopsida; Poales; Poaceae.
GUCAGUUAUUAGGUCUCCAUCCCUCGCUCAAGCAGUCAAAUCCCUCCGCCUCGAGAAGCCUAAAUCCCCCUUCUCUUUGUUAGCUUCUCCUAUCCAAGAUCCAGAUGCGCUCACCACCGUCCUGUCGUUCCCCACCGUCGUCCGCAUCGAAGCCGCCUCACCAUGUCCCCUACCGGACUGUCAUGUCCCACCGCAGUUCGUCUCCCCUCCAUCCUGUCGUGUCCCCUGCAUCACCACCGCACUGUCGUGAUGGUCGCGCUGACCAUGGCCAUGCCAGCAAGGAUGACGGCGACGCGUGACCCAUGGUGACCUUGCUCCGGCUGGUAGUUGGACGACCACCGGAUCUACCCAGAUCGUACCCCCUCCUUCUCUCCAACAGGAACAUGUUCUUACCGGUGGUCAGGGUCUGAUGGUUGAUGGAUAUUGUCAUCUAAUUCAGGCUCUUGCACAAAAAAGACUUUGGCAACUAAAAAGGGAGUGCCUAUGAACGAAAUUCCCCCAUCUCCAUUUCGCCUCCUGAUUGUUCACCAUCUCUUGUAAAUUUUUUGAAACAAGCUAAGAGCACCAGCUUUGUGUGCUCAGCAACAGACAGAUCAUGAAAGUUCUCUACACAAUACCCAUGAAUGCUUGUGUUGCUUCUACUUUCUACCCAAUACCCAUGAAGAAUUGCUUCAUAGUUGCUGGUUGUUCCCAGUCAAUUAGCAAUUUCAUAAUUAAAUUAAUUGGGCAGGCAAUUGAUUUAGUGCAAAUCAUCAUUGUAUGUGUCUUUCGAGUUCGUCUAGUGAUAAUAAUCUAGGACAGAUUCGGUCUAGCCUAGGACAUAUACUUCAGGAAAGUAAGUAUCACAGAUUCAGCGUAGCCUAGCACAUAUCUUUUAGGAAUGUAAGUAUCACAGAUUUAGCAUAGCCUAGCACAUAUCUUUUAGAUCAAUGCGAUGUUUUAGUGUUCUUUACUCGGCUGUGCUCACGACUCACAAAGCAUUAUCACGUCGUGUGCAAGCUGCCAAAACACUAGGAGAGGUACAUACUUAGCAUACUUCAGUAUUUAGAACACUAACCGUACUGGAGUAAUUUUGUUGGUUUUUGGUAGACUUUAGUUAUUUUUUACUUUAUAUAGGCAAGUAAUUGUAAAUAUUCCCCACGGAGAUACCGACAGUAUAUGCUCUCCAUUUGACAUCUUACCUUAUUAAUCUUCAAGAUGUACUCAUGAAAAUGUAUGCAUUAGAAUUAUAUGUAAUUAUAUAUUGUAUAUUAUAUUCUAUUGACUGCACUUUGUAGUAUCUCCACACCACACUUAAAUAAAUCUCCUGGAAAUAUAUAGUGGACAUUAUGCUAUAAAAAAGUUGCAUAAUGAAUUUCUUUCUCAGGAAGUAAUUUUAUUUUCAGUGUGCAGUCAGGCUAUUGUGUUUGGAGGGUUGAUUCAACUUAUAGAAGGUGCAGUAUGCACCAAAGAGUAGUACACAUGGACAUGCCCGUGGGGUCAGCAUAGCUAUGGAGCCAGGUUGCUUCUGAAGUACAGUUUCCAAGACUUCAACAUAUUUGCGUCAACUUGGUGAAGGAUAAUUGAGUUGAGUUGCAGCUGAAUUCUCCGAUUGGAUCAAGAAGCAAAUAAAAUUAGAGAAUUUUACUUAGCAAUAACCGUAGUAUACAUUGAUAGAUGAAAAAAAUGUAAUAUCAUGCACAAGAUCAUUUUCUUUGUUUGAAUUAAUGCAAAUGCUAUGGUGUAAUAUUAUCCAUAGAUAUGUUCUAUGUAGUCAAAUUAAUAUAAAUGAUAUGUUAUUGCACAAACAA